UGCCAAGGCGCCAGAACCGGCUGGUACCCCAGUACCCACUGGAAGGGGGAGAGGUUAGUGGAGGGGUGGCAGAGCGAGUUCUGACUCUGAUGCCAAGGCGCCAGAACCGGCUGGUACCCCAGUACCCACUGGAAGGGGGAGAGGUUAGUGGAGGGGUGGCAGAGCGAGUUCUGACUCUGAUGCCAAGGCGCCAGAACCGGCUGGUACCCCAGUACCCACUGGAAGGGGGAGAGGUUAGUGGAGGGGUGGCAGAGCGAGUUCUGACUCUGAUGCCAAGGCGCCAGAACCGGCUGGUACCCCAGUACCCACUGGAAGGGGGAGAGGUUAGUGGAGGGGUGGCAGAGCGAGUUCUGACUCUGAUGCCAAGGCGCCAGAACCGGCUGGUACCCCAGUACCCACUGGAAGGGGGAGAGGUUAGUGGAGGAGUGGCAGAGCGAGUUCUGACUCUGAUGCCAAGGCGCCAGAACCGGCUGGUACCCCAGUACCCACUGGAAGGGGGAGAGGUUAGUGGAGGGGUGGCAGAGCGAGUUCUGACUCUGAUGCCAAGGCGCCAGAACCGGCUGGUACCCCAGUACCCACUGGAAGGGGGAGAGGUUAGUGG
Oncorhynchus keta (chum salmon) is the source of this 601-nucleotide long non-coding RNA. RefSeq lists it as uncharacterized. The transcript is spliced from 3 exons. The record is from RefSeq and is a predicted model, not a curated record. Lineage: Eukaryota; Metazoa; Chordata; Actinopteri; Salmoniformes; Salmonidae.